CCCCUCAAAGCCCUUAUGGUCUUCUUUUGCCCUACUCUCCAAACAGUGCAGAUGACCAAAGAGUGGAUUUCUUCCCUGUAUAGAAAGUCUCUGUGUGUGACCUCUGGAGACCCAUGCACACACAGGCAGGAUCCCCACUUGCAAAAUAUGUAGAUGUUGCAGAUUUUCCCCACACAGAGGUGUCCUUGCCCCUAAGUUUCACCUUACAAGGGCAAGACAAAUUACAGGAGGACUGCAAGCAAAAUGCUACAAGAGGUAUUUCACCCAGCACACCAGCUAAUCAAACCAGACAGCAUAGCCCAGAUAUCAGACCCAAGCAUCGAAUGCCUCGAGGAGCUGUCAGUGUGUGCUCUCCUGACAAGACUGACUGAAUAUGUAUGGAAAUAAGCUGAGAAAGAAAAUUUCCUGACCAGGCCUUAUUAUCUACUCUGCCAACCUUCACUGAGGUGCAGCCAUAUCACAACUACUAGCGCUCAAGGGACCUGGAAAGAAUAAAGUCACAACAUGUGAAACAACCCUACACCCUCCUGGGCAAAGAAAAUCUGUAAGGAAGCUCUUUCCAGCACAUUCAAUAUUCCUUAUUGAAGAAGUCAUUGCAGAAAACUUACUUCAUCCUCAAAAAUUAAACAUUCACUCCUGACAUCCAACUAUUUCCUCUCUAGUUCCUCAUGCCUGAGAAAAUAAAUCAGAGAGUUACAGUCCCCUUGCUCCAACCUCCAGGUGACACUGCUCUGUGCCAGGCUGCACAAAAGGUGUUGAGAUGUGCUCACACGAACAAAGGUUUAUCAGACUGCUCUGUGGAAGAGCUAAGGCUGCUUUUGGGGAAAAAUUGUAACACAAUUGUUGUCUGGUUGUUAAGCCUUGUGCAGGCAUGGCACUGGGCUCCCUAAAGCAAACCAAAACGGCAGGGAAAGAGGGAAGGGAAGGACAGGUACCCCCAGAUCCCUGUGUGCCCCAGGGCCAGGGCUCACACAAGGCUCCACAGGCACCUUGGGGAGGGAAAGGCAGGGAGCUGUACACUCUGUUCAUGGGAUCUGCCCUUUAUGCCUCAUUUCCAGCUGGGAACAUACUUUCCCAUGCUGCACAGCUUGCACUACCAGCUGCUUUUAGAAGCACAAUAUUUUAUAGGGAAUUUUACUUAAAGCUCUGGUUAGAGGUUUAUAACCCCUUGAGCUUUACACAGCUGAGUUCCCAGUACUGAGAUGUCCGAUUUUACAGGGCAAGAGAUACUACAGUCCUAUAAUAAGUUUCACAGCUCUUUAAAACAUUGUGAGUAGGCUUUUACUUUCAAAUAGAAUACACCAAGUAGGGAUGGCAUGAAGCAGUAAUGAAUAUCUGAAAAAUUAUGAAGGGAAGUAGCACAGGAACUGACAUUUUUCACAUCUUUAUUUUAAUCACCUUUAUUUUGGGCCUCAAGAGCAAGCACUGUGCAUGGGGUACACUUGGAAAGCUGGAAAUCUCUCAUUGGCUCAAAAUUUCUGUUUCUAUCUCUGUUCAAACCCAGAUAAAAUUUUCCCAAGAUAAAUUAUACCCUGAUUAUGGGUUUGUGUCUCAUUGCUCACCACAAACAGGACCAUUAGGUUCACACAAUGCACACUAAUUGCCUGCCACCUAGUUUAUUUCAUUCUCUGUGAUGAAUCACAAGUCUUAACAAGACCAGAAACAGAAUUUAACUGAUAGAGGGUGAGCUGAGACUUUUAGUUCUGUGCAGCAAAUCAAUCCCCUGCCCUGCACAGAGAAGCUGCCUGAACCCAGGCUGGCAGGACACAUAGUGUGUGCAUUGUGCACGAGCCAG
Molecule: long non-coding RNA, 1795 nt
Organism: Passer domesticus (house sparrow)
Lineage: Eukaryota; Metazoa; Chordata; Aves; Passeriformes; Passeridae
Exons: 3
Source: RefSeq, a predicted model, not a curated record